Molecule: small nuclear RNA, 79 nt
Filed under: Homo sapiens (human)
Lineage: Eukaryota; Metazoa; Chordata; Mammalia; Primates; Hominidae
Description: partial ncRNA
Source: RNAcentral
ACAGAAUUGCUUGAACCUGGGAGGCAGAGGUUGCAGUGAGCCAAGAUCGUGCCACUGCACGCGAGCCUGGGCAACAGAG